Molecule: non-coding RNA, 442 nt
Organism: Salvelinus sp. IW2-2015
Lineage: Eukaryota; Metazoa; Chordata; Actinopteri; Salmoniformes; Salmonidae
Source: RefSeq, a predicted model, not a curated record
AUUGGUGGAGGCCCAACGCCCUAUUGAGACACUAUAUGUUGGUGUUUCCUUUACUUUGGCAGUUACCUGUAUAUAUAUGCAUGAGAAUAAAUGUCCAUUCAAAUGUAUUUUACAUAUCUCUAAAUACACUCUACACAUGUACAUGGUUAGUUUAGUUCAGGUUGUGAUGGUUAGUUCAGGUUGUGAUGGUUAGUUCAGGUUGUGAUGGUUAGUUUAGUUCAGGUUGUGAUGGUUAGUUUAGUUCAGGUUGUGAUGGUUAGUUUAGUUUGGUUUGUGAUGGUUAGUUUAGUUCAGGUUGUGAUGGUUAGUUUAGUUCAGGUUGUGAUGUGUAGUUCAGGUUGUGAUGGUUAGUUUAGUUCAGGUUGUGAUGGUUAGUUUAGUUCUGGUUUGAUGGUUAGUUUAGUUCUGUUUGUGAUGGUUAGUUUUAGUUCAGGUUGUGAGG